Molecule: long non-coding RNA, 210 nt
Filed under: Elaeis guineensis (African oil palm)
Lineage: Eukaryota; Viridiplantae; Streptophyta; Magnoliopsida; Arecales; Arecaceae
Description: long non-coding RNA (EGUI_LNC061040)
Source: RNAcentral
GUGUUCUCUCUGAAUGAUGGAAUUAGCAUUCAUCAUAUGAUGACUCUAUUAAACUAUCUGAUGGUGAUCAGAUUGAUCGAGCCAUCCUCGAGCCUGAUCAUUUGUUAGUUAGAAUCAUUGAGUAGGUUCAUAUUAAUGGUUGGACCUAACCGAAACUUUCAAUGGAGGCCCAUCACCUACUGAAAUAAAACCUGGGGUGAAAUUAAAUAC